CCAUAGGGAAGAAGAAUCAAGAAGGGAGGAAGUACUAGACAAUGUCUAUAAAAAUAAAAUAAAAAAAGAGGAAGGACAUGCAUUUGCACAUUUGCUCCAGGUUUGUUGAACAGGAAACAUCUGAGCUGGAAUUCCCAGCAAAAUACCAUGAAGAUCUUGUGGCUAAUAUUUCCUGUCUUUUUAUGGAUAUUCCUGUCUGCUACAGAACUCUAUGCCAUAAAUUCCUUCUAUCACUGCUUUGGAUCUGGACAUAUUUGUAUUGACCGUGAGAGCUGUACUUUCCCUGAUACCAUCAUUGGAACAUGCAACUACUCUGUGAUUUGCUGCAAAAGCCCAGACUAGAAAACAGAGCUCCAGCUCCCACCUAUUACCAUG
Long non-coding RNA from Heteronotia binoei (common prickly gecko), 375 nucleotides. RefSeq lists it as uncharacterized. The record is from RefSeq and is a predicted model, not a curated record. The transcript is spliced from 3 exons. NCBI's taxonomy places the organism in Eukaryota, Metazoa, Chordata, Lepidosauria, Squamata, Gekkonidae.